Molecule: ribosomal RNA, 552 nt
Filed under: Salmonella enterica subsp. enterica serovar Enteritidis
Lineage: Bacteria; Pseudomonadati; Pseudomonadota; Gammaproteobacteria; Enterobacterales; Enterobacteriaceae
Description: partial 23S ribosomal RNA
Rfam family: Bacterial large subunit ribosomal RNA
Source: RNAcentral
AGUCUUAACCGGGCGUUAAGUUGCAGGGUAUAGACCCGAAACCCGGUGAUCUAGCCAUGGGCAGGUUGAAGGUUGGGUAACACUAACUGGAGGACCGAACCGACUAAUGUUGAAAAAUUAGCGGAUGACCUGUGGCUGGGGGUGAAAGGCCAAUCAAACCGGGAGAUAGCUGGUUCUCCCCGAAAGCUAUUUAGGUAGCGCCUCGUGAAUUCAUCUCCGGGGGUAGAGCACUGUUUCGGCUAGGGGGCCAUCCCGGCUUACCAACCCGAUGCAAACUGCGAAUACCGGAGAAUGUUAUCACGGGAGACACACGGCGGGUGCUAACGUCCGUCGUGAAGAGGGAAACAACCCAGACCGCCAGCUAAGGUCCCAAAGUCAUGGUUAAGUGGGAAACGAUGUGGGAAGGCCCAGACAGCCAGGAUGUUGGCUUAGAAGCAGCCAUCAUUUAAAGAAAGCGUAAUAGCUCACUGGUCGAGUCGGCCUGCGCGGAAGAUGUAACGGGGCUAAACCAUGCACCGAAGCUGCGGCAGCGACACUGUGUGUUGUUGGGUA